RNAcentral lists this ribosomal RNA (441 nucleotides) under uncultured bacterium. RNAcentral describes it as "partial 16S ribosomal RNA". It matches the Rfam family "Bacterial small subunit ribosomal RNA", at positions 338 to 795 of the family's 1533-position model. The record is from RNAcentral.
CCUACGGGAGGCAGCAGUGGGGAAUAUUGCACAAUGGGGGGAACCCUGAUGCAGCGACGCCGCGUGAGUGAAGAAGUAUUUCGGUAUGUAAAGCUCUGUCAGCAGGGAAGAAGAAAGACGGUACCUGACUAAGAAGCCCCGGCUAACUACGUGCCAGCAGCCGAGGUAAUACGGAGGGGCCAAGCGUUACCCGGAUUUACUGGGUGUAAAGGGAGCGUAGACGGCGGGGCAAGUCUGAUGUGAAAGGCAAGGGCCCAACCCCGGGACUGCUUUGGAAACUGUCAGGCUGGAGUGCAGGAGAGGUAAGUGGAAUUCCUAGUGUAGCGGUGAAAUGCGUAGAUAUUAGGAGGAACACCAGUGGCGAAGGCGGCUUACUGGACUGUAACUGACGUUGAGGCUCGAAAGCGUGGGGAGCAAACAGGAUUAGAUACCCUUGUAGUC